Amphiprion ocellaris (clown anemonefish) is the source of this 7768-nucleotide RNA transcript. It is a transcript of the gene named gastrula zinc finger protein XlCGF53.1-like, with no coding region annotated. Lineage: Eukaryota; Metazoa; Chordata; Actinopteri; Pomacentridae. The transcript is spliced from 5 exons. The record is from RefSeq and is a predicted model, not a curated record.
UUCAUGACGCCACUUGCAAAAACAAGAAGCAGAGGCGAGUGUUGAACAGGUAGCUCGGUUUAAUGGGUAUUUCAUAUUAAUUUGCUUCGCUUAACGCUCGAUACCGCCGAAACGAAACGUUCACGUUGAAAUACUGUGACAUGUUAGACUGAAAUAUGUUUCGGAGUAUUCGUUGUACGAUUUGUUUACGGCUUAAUGCCGUUAACGACAGUUAGCUUCCAAAUGCUACCGUUAAGCUAAAGAGAAACAUUAGCUGGCUAACUAUCAGUUCCAGUAUAUGUUUAAUGUCAGUAAACAUCAUCUUAAUUCACACUUUUUAAUUUAAUGAAUAUCUCCUUGUCACUCAUUACCUGGGAUUCUGACAACAAGUGGAGAUAUUGUUGAAUAACUGCGAUAAUGGCGUACAACUUACUACAACAUGUAGCAGAAUAUUCAAGAAAUACAUUUUAAAUCGGAGAUCGCGUGUUUCUCAUUUGUUUUCCGACUCAAACACACGGAACUCCAGUGUAUUAACAGUUACAGGACACCACAGCGUCCAUCAUGUCGAACCUGGACACAGUCAUAGUCACCUUUCAGACCCAGCUCUCAGAUGUGAUGGAGGCUGUGGUGAAGACAGCAAUGUCUGAGGUCACCAGGUUGGUUGAGGACGUGGUCUUGGUGGAGGUGAAGCGCAGGAACCAGGAGGUGGAGUCCCUGAGGAUGCAGCUGAAAUGGACUGAAAGUAAAUUUAGUGACCAAGGGAGUAAAGAAGGAGGAAAGACUGGAAAGUGUGUCGACUGUGCAAGAGAUGAUGUGGAACUGUCCACUGACACUGUUGAGGAAAGGCCUGUAGAGCAACGGGGUGACAUAUUGAAAAGCUGUGGUGUGAAAAAAGAGGGUGAUUCUGUUGAAAGGUGGAUACCAAGCAGCAGACAAGAAGUCAUAUCAGAGUCACCACAGGAGGCAAACAAUCCUUCAAACACACAGAGCCCUGAAAGACAAUCACAGGCAAUUGAAGAAGAGGAUGUGAUGCCAGCUGUUGAUAUGAAGGGGGAAGAAGUUAAUAAUCCAUCUUGCUCUUCUAUGAUUUUGGGAGGAUGGAGUGGUACACUUGAUGAUGAAGACGUACCGAAAUCAGACAAUACUGCUGAGAUGGUUGAAGCACAACCAAAAGAGACUCAAGACAACGAGGAAUUUUUGAGGGCUAUCAUUAAGCAAGACCCACAGAUAUCAUAUGGAUUUUGUGAAGACCAGCAGAAAUCACACAUUGCUACAGAUCAACCAUGUGUUUCAUCUUUGGAAAUGGACACCAGUUGGGCUGGCCUGACUGUCAAAGCAGCUGGAUUGCUACAAAAUCACAGACUUGGAGCUGAAAAGGAACGUGAUUCAGUCAACACUAAAGGUUCUCUGAAGCGUACAGAACAUGAGCUGUCUGACUCUGUCAGAGCAGAUGUUCAGGUUACCCCAGGCAGAGAUCAGAUUUCAACCUCAGGAUCCCCUAAGGCAAGACUGCAGCAAAGUGCUACUUUGGGAGUGACUAUCAAGGAGGAAGUUAUCAUCGAUUCUGAUGGGUGUGAGGAAAGUGAGCAUGUAGAAGAGAAAGUGACAAAGUCUGGGAUGGCAUCUCUCUCCUGUUCCGUAAAGCAACACAGGGUGAGUUCAGAAGCACACAAACCAAACCACAUUUACCACAAAGCCACUGUGCAGGAGGUUAUGAAGCUGCAUUCCAGGGGUACGGGGGUCAGAUUGCAAGCCGCUAUACAACACCUCCACCGACCGAUGAAGAAGCCCCCACACACACUUUUGAAUAGUACCAAUGCAGCACUGUCUGUAGCUCACUCUCAGGUUGUAAACUUAAAUAACCUCAACAGAAUUCCUUCCACAUCCAAAGCCACUCCUCCUUCUGCAUCCUCAGUCCAGCGAGUUCACCUGGGUGACAAACAAACUUCAGCACUUAACCGAUCUGGGGCUCCGUGGGUCAGCAUCAAAUCGCAGCAUCAGUCAGCAAACUCUCAGCACGCCAACCCUGCCCCCCAUCCAGACUCUCACCCUCACCUGGGCCCCAGGCACCUUCUGCGCUGUGGUCAAUGUGGGAAGUGCUUCCCCCACCCCAGCAACCUGAAAGCCCACCUGCAGACUCACACAGGCGAGCGGCCUUUCUGCUGUUCCCUCUGUGGUCGUAGCUUCACGAAGCUGAGCAACCUCAAAGCCCACCGACGUGUCCACACUGGAGAGAGACCGUACUGCUGCUUGGCCUGUGGCAAACGCUUCACCCAGAAAUGUAACCUGAAACGCCACCAGAGGAUCCAUCUGGAUGUAUGAUGAUGGACAGCCAGUGAUCAAAAGACAAGUUUGGUGUGUGUUUCUUUUAGGCUACAUCCACACUAAUACAUUGGAAUUUUAAAAUACAUAACUUUUACCACAUUUACCUAGUGGCCAUGCUACUCUGGUGUUUUAGGACCCAUAAACCUGAGCGUUUUAAUUUGAAAACUCCAGGAUUUAUUGUAGUCUUGAACUGAGACAAAUGGACUCUUUGAAAUGAUGACACAUUCUUCUGAUUGGUCUAAACUGUCAGUAUGUGUUGUUCACCGCUUUACAUCAUGUGACAGUUUUCCAGAAGAAAACAAAGCUAUCAGCCUACCAGUGGUUUAUUUAACAUGUAUAACAAAUUACCAGCAUUGCUUACUUUGUUGUCUAUGCUAGCAGCUGUUGUGCAAUUCAGGAAAUCUCUAUUUUUUGACAUUGUUGUUCUUUCUCUGUAGUAUUUUCUACAACUGAACAACUUCAUGUUUACACUGACGCCUGCAUGCCUACUAUAUGUGAAUGGUCAUGUGAUAUGUGUAUUCAGGACUGUUAAAUUGACCAACACUCUUCCGGACAAAGAUAAUUUUUGUGUUAAAACAUUGGUUUUAAAAUAAAAACAUGUUAGUGUGGAUGUAGCCUUCAAUUACAAUGCUACAGAGUUUACAUUGCAGUGCCGUACAAAUUGUGUGACACAUUGCAAGACUGCUUCUGUGUACUUGUCUGUUAAAGUGUCAUCCCAAAUUCUUCUGUGCAUUCCAGAAAGGUUCAUCUAGUAACUUUUGGUUGCUUUAGUGUUAUUAGCAGAUGAAAGGCAGUGUGUUGUUAAAUGUAACUUGCGCAAAGAUAGUUGCAACUUGUAGUCAAUAAAUGGCUGUGAAUACUCAUUUUUUUUCUGUUUUGUCAACCUGUGAGAACAAAAGCAGAUAUUUGCUAUAGAUCAGAGCCUCUAUUUAUCAUAAGAGAAAUUUUGGACAAACAUAGCUCCAAAAAUGAAUUAUCAAAGUUCCCCUAAAAUACUGUGAAAUUAAGCAGAGGUACACAUUUCUGUUAAGUUGUUUGAGGGUAGCUUUAGCAAUAGUUGAUGGCUGCCGCACAAAAACGGUUGAGAACAAACAUUCUUAUACAUGUUAAUUAAUGGUCAUGACUUUUGAUGAAAAACAUGUUAGUGGAAGCAUUAUAAUUCAGAGUAGUGUCAUUUUAGCAUUGUCAUUUUUAACAUUUGCACUGCAUUUCAGCAUUUCAUAUGAAGUUCCGCCGUUGAUUUCAUGGGUUGCCUUUUUUGCUUCAGUUUAAAGUAUUUCAUUCAUCUUUACUUGUUAAUGUAUCAUAAAUCUAGUAGAUUGUUAAUUGGAGAUUAUUGGACGUAUUAAAGAUUUUUUUAAAAAAAUCACUGACCAUUUACUGCUGUGAACAAAACAUAAUUUGAAGAUUUUUUUGUGUAGUAUGUGUGAUUUUGUUAAAAACUUGUGUUUUGUUUCUGCUAAGAUUUCUGUACCAAAACCCUGAAAAGUGCAUCUUUUGAAAGAUUGAGAAUCACUCCAUUUGUCAUUAGCAUCAUGAGUGGUUGCUGAAUUCAUACAUAUUUACUCAUUGAAUACAGCUCUAUCAAGUUAAAAAAAAAAACACUACAAAAAUUCCUUAAUUUUAAAUUACUCAACAGUACUGUGGUACGUUCAUUGAACACUUGGUGUCAGCCUUUCACAGCCUUUCGUUUACUGUAGGUAUCAGAACCUCGGCAGAGUUUCGCAGACAAUUUCUUGUUCUCUUGUCUGGCUUCUGAUGUAUUAAUGGAAUAGAGAGGUACUCUUACAGAACAACGUUCCAUUGGAGUCAAUUCAUGGUAACAAGUGUCUGCAGGCACUGUUUUAGUCAAUCUGUGCACCCAAGCCUGUGUGUGUUACACAUCUUAUGCUAAGGAUUAAGCUUGAUGUGGUGUAUCUAUUGUUCGAGUCAGAGCAGCACUGUGCAGGUGAUACAACUGAUAACAUUUUAAUCUUAUUUUCAAGGUGAGGAAAAAACUAGCAGAGGCUAAACUCUUUCUGUGCAUGUGUGUGUAAGAGAGAGAACAUGUGGAUUAAAGCAGGGCUUCUGUUCUAGAUGAUAUCUUUCUUUUUUGAUGUUUGAACCCAAUAACGAGAAGUUAUCUAUGAAGAGCAAUUGAGAAAUGCCUACUUAGCUGAAUCUGCAGUGAGCCUAGUAGAUAGUGGCUGCUGUGUGAGGGGGUUGUGAAACUGUCUGCUCACAGUUGAAUGUGUGGGAGUACUCAGUAUAUACAAACAUAUUCCUGUACAUUGGCCAACAUAUACCUUCUGCCUGUGCAUUUUAAACAGCACCUUCAUCUUGUCUGAAUCAUUUUUCUCUUUCUAAUCGAAGCACUGUGAUGUAAGCAUCCCCUCUGAAAAUGUUUAAUUACUUAAAAAGCAAACAAAACAAGACACUUUCAUUUUCCAUUCCUGUUCUCUUUAGUUUCCUCAUUUGGACACAUUUCCUGUUCUUUGUACCAGCUUUUCUUUUUUUUUUCCCUUGGCCUUGCAGUGAUGUGUAAGCCUCACUAAGGCGGGAGCAUUAUGAGGAAUAGAAGGCUGUGUUUCGGUACAGGGGGUGUAACAGAAAGCUACUUCAGGCUGAGCUGCUGUUCAACUGGAUUUUAGUUGAAAAAGAAUGAAAGAAGGAGAAGAAAGCAUACUGGAGGAUGUUAAACAGGGAGAGAACCUUAGUGGAUCUAGACAGUCAUGGAACACUUCAAGAUGUUGUUACCAGCUUGUACAAAUUGGUGACUGUGAUUAAAAGUAUACCUGAGCAAAAUACUGAUCUUCCACUUCUGUCCUUAUCAUUGAAGAGACUAUAAGAAAAAUACUGGGUUGAGGAGAGCUGCAGGAUCAAAUACCUUAUUAUAUUUAAAGAAGGACCCUUUCCAGCAUUGCUAAUGGAACAAACUUCACAGCCUGUUAAGAGGGGAAAAAGUCUAUAUUUUCAUUACUUUCUUUGAAUACUUUCUUCAAGCCAUUUUUUGCCUUCACUUAAGUAGACACUGAUCAGCCACAUCAUUGUCACCACCAGCCAAACAAGUCCAGCAUGGACUCCACCAAAAAUCUGAAGGUGACCUGCAAUGUCCUGUGGGGUCUCAAUCAAGCAAACUUGCUUUUCUAGCAUGUCAUAGAUGCAUAAUUGGAAUGUGAUCUGGAAAAUUUGGUGGAAGCCACUGCCAUCAGGAAAAACUGUUGUCAUGAAGAGGUAUGUGUCAAAAUGUCCAUACGAGUGCCAGGAUGCAAGGUUUCGCACCAGAAUAUUGCCCAGACCCCCAUAUUGCGUCUAAUGGCAUGCUUCAUUCCCAUAAUGCAUCCUGUCGAAAUUUCUUCCCCAGGUGAAUCAUGCAAAUCCAACCAGAUGUCCAUAUGAUGGAAAAGAAGACAUGAAAUGUCCAACCAGGCCACCUUCUAUUGCUCCAUGUCCAGUUGUAUUGCUCAUGUACCAUCUGUUGGCACUUUCACUGUGUGUUCUAACAAGAGAUACAUGUUAUUCAUUCGCCUGUCAGGGGUUUUAAUGUUGUGGUUGACUGUUAUACAGUGUAGAGUUACACCUCUGGCUGAAGGCUUAGGCCAGGUCACAUUAGAAUAAACUGACAAAAUCCAUAUAAAAAGGAUUCCAAGGUGGAUGGAUGGUUCAACAAAAUUCUGGAUUAACAAAGGAGACUGCAGUUUGUUUGCUUCCUAUUUCCAACUGAAAGCCAGUGCUGUCUUUUUUAUAUAAAAGAAUGACCAUGAUUGCAUCCUCGACUUUGUUUGUUAUCGUACCCUUGAUGACAAAGAUCUUCUAACCAUAAAAUAGCAGCUAUUUUACUCCAAACUGUGAUACUUUUCUAAAAUUCACCAAGUUGUGUUGGUGCCUGAACUCAAUCAAACCUUAACCACAAUGUCUUUAUGUCAUUAAAACCAAUUUAUUUUGUUUUGAAAUCCCGUUUUGCCAAUGAGGGCAUUAGAUCUGAAUACUCUCUUAUGUGUUGUUUUUAUGUAAAACAAACAAACAAAAAAACUGUUUUCAUUUUUUGUGCUCCUGAAUAAACAGCUGCCAAGUAAACCAGGAACAGGUUAUAGCAAAAUGCACCUCCAUUGCCCACAUGGAAGCCAUGUUUCUGGAUGGAACUAUCUAAUCCAUGUUCUGUUACAGUUUCACCAUUUAAUGUCAACAAACCUGUGGAUAAGGAGUCGAAUGUCUUCAGAGUCUUGAUGUUUGGAAGGCGCUCAUCUGACUGUCAAGUUAUAUUCAGCAUGUAUGACGAGGACAGUACAGUCAGUUUUUAAAAAUUCCAUAAAAGUCACAGAUGUAAAUUAUGAAGUCAAAUGAAAUCAAUUGGGUAAGAAAUCUUUCCCUGCUCUCCCAGAAAAGGUAGACCUUUUUUUUGCCUCUCCCAUACCCAAAUAUAUUUUCUACAGUCCAGAAAUCUUUGUAAAGUCGAAAACACACAAAAUCUCCAGUGUAUUCCUUCAUAAUCAAGACUUGUUUUGGUUUUGCCUUCAGAUCCCCCACUGUUUUUAAUAUGUUCAAAAUUGUAGCACGUGCAACUCAGCACUGUCUAGUGUGUUGUAGCCACCAUCUUUAAUUACCUCGAACCCGCUAACGCUUCCCUGAGCUGGGAGAGACAAAAGAAAACAGCCAGACAAGAGAGACAACAGACAGAUUGUGCCAAAGGAUAGAAAAAGGAGGCAAAUAAUUAUGUUUUUCUCUGACAAAUUCAUCUCACAUUAUUGGUAUUAAGGGAGCUGCAGCCCCCUUUAAUGCACUUUUUAAAAAAUUAUUAAUUUGCAGGGCAAUAAUGGCAUUAGCAGUGCUUGACUGGACUUAAUAAUGCCUCUUUGUACUUGAAUUGAUAGUUGAAGAAACUUUUUCUUUUCUAUGUCAAAUCAUUCCAAUAUAAUAUUCAAUGCUUAACAGGCUACAGAGUGCACUGUGGAAGAUUUAUGUCAAGGCUAGUGUGCCUUAUUCAUAACACUUUCAUAUUUCAUAAAAGCAGCUCAGGCAGAAGAGAAUGAACUUUGAUGUGUUUUUCAGUCAAAAUUUUAUUCCCAUUUGUUGUAAGUCCACUAAAUCCAUUAAGAAGGGGGUUUAAAUCCUUGAGCUUCACCUUCUUUUUCAUUGUGAAUGAAAGAAUAAGUGCAGGUAUGAAGACACCGCUAUUUUACUUGUUUCUCCUAAGAUUCUCUGAACAGAGAAUGUAUUCACAAACAAUUAGAGAGUACUCUCAGAGAGCACCUCACUUAGCCUUUCUUCUUUAUAAAAGUUUUCAGGGAGACUUAAAUCCUAGCAAGGAAGUGUAGUUGACUGUGCUGCUGGGUAAUGUGUUGUAUUUUAGAUACUGUGAUUGGUUAAUCAAGAACAUUUUUGUGCGGUUUAUCAGAAUGCACAGUGAAACUGGUAACAACAAUUUAACAAUCUGAUGUUUGAAUGGACUGAGAUAUUGGACAGUAGCAUCACUACAAGUAGUGAG